GUUCAAGAGAAGUCUGAGUCUGAUGUCAGAAGAUGUAACCAAAGAAAAUAAACAAAAUGACAAUAAUACACAAAUAACAACAGACUACUAGCAGUUAACUGACAUGCCAGCUCCAGACUUCAAUUAAACUGACUGAAAGAUUAUGAUUUCAUCAUAUGAACAUCAGGCACAAUCCUUCCCGUUAGGGGUUUAGUAUCAUACCAUCAUAACAUAUAUGAGAAGAACAUAACCCGUGUCAUGCCAACAACUGUUUUUAGAAUAAAUGUGUUUAGUUCCGAUGCAAAGACCCCCCC
RNAcentral lists this long non-coding RNA (293 nucleotides) under Mytilus galloprovincialis (Mediterranean mussel). The record is from RNAcentral. Lineage: Eukaryota; Metazoa; Mollusca; Bivalvia; Mytilida; Mytilidae.